UGGGGAGUAUUGCACAAUGGGGAGGACCCUGAUGCAGCGACGCCGCGUGGACGAAGAAGUAUUUCGGUAUGUAAAGUCCUAUCAGCAGGGAAGAAGAAAUGACGGUACCUGACUAAGAAGCCCCGGCUAACUACGUGCCAGCAGCCGCGGUAAUACGUAGGGGGCAAGCGUUAUCCGGAUUUACUGGGUGUAAAGGGAGCGCAGGCGGCAGCCCAAGUCUGAUGUGAAAGCCCGGGGACCCCAACCCGGGCACUGCAUUGGAAACUGGGCAGCUGGAGUGCCGGAGGGGUAAGCGGAAUUCCUAGUGUAGCGGUGAAAAUGCGUAGAUAUUAGGAGGAACACCAGUGGCGAAGGCGGCUUACUGGACGGCAACUGACGCUGAGGCUCGAAAGCGUGGGGAGCAAACAGGAUUAGAUACCC
Molecule: ribosomal RNA, 420 nt
Filed under: uncultured bacterium
Lineage: Bacteria
Description: bacterial SSU rRNA
Rfam family: Bacterial small subunit ribosomal RNA
Source: RNAcentral